GCGAAUUCCAUGGGGACCCCAUUUACAUAGGGCGGGGCCUUCUGUGGCGCCACUUCCUCCUCCAGCCAGCUUUAGCCUGCUUUCCUUCUGUUGUCGCCCACUUUCCUUCAUUUUCGCUCUCUUUCCUUACGGAUAUCGGCCCCUUUUCUUCCUCUCAUAGCCCGCGUAGGUGUCCAGAUGCUCCCGAAACGGCGGCGAGUGCGGGUCGGCUGUCCCGGUGGUGCUGUCACUUCCUCCACUUCGCCCUUAGUGCUCUUUCCCGGCGUCGCCAUCUACCUGGCUGAACCGCGCAUGGGCCGUAGCCGCCGGGCCUUUCUCACACGCCUGGCGCUGUCGAAGGGCUUCCGUGUCCUCGAAGUCUACAGGUGUGCCUACCUCUGCGUGGGGCACUGCGAAGAUCUGAUGUUGGUGUGGGGCCGGCUAAGCAGGCUUUUUCGCUGGGCCCGUUCAGAGACCCAGGUGACACAUAGCAUGCUCCUGCGGGGCGGCUGCACCUGCGUUAUUGGAUUCCAAAUUAUCUGUGGCUCUUUGGUCAAGUAAUCUUUCUUGAAAGGGAUUUUUAAAAAUUUUUAGGUACUGGGUAUUGAAUCCAAGGGCCCUUUACUGCAGAGCUACAUCCCCAGCCCUUUUUAUUUUUAUUUUUUUAAAGAUAGGGUCUUGCUAAGUUGCAGAGGCUGGCCUUGAACUUUUGAUCCUCCUGUGCCAGCUUUCCCAGUCACUCAGAUUACAGGCAUAGAGCCACAAUCCCAGCAAAGUUGCUAUUAAGAUUGCUAGGAAUGUUCCACAGGAUUAUUGACAAUCAAGCCAGAGGCUUUUCAAAGAGCCAUUCAGGGGAGAGGUAAUUACAAGUAGUAUUUGCCCACGUGCCCUAGAAGCCACAUUGAGCCAUCCUGAAACCUUGAACCUGGAAUAUAACUGGCGCUCUCAUAGGGAGGCAAUCAAGACAGUGCCCAGAGAGAGUAGUUUUGAGAUGGGGAAGCUAAGUGGACUUGGGACCAGUGCUUCCCAAAGCUUUUAUUUACUAUUUUGUAUUUAAACAUCUCCAGGGAAGGAUAGUGCACCAGACCCGCUCACACAGUGCACAUGAUGCAACUUUUACAAUAGCUCUACCAGGUAGUAGUUAUUUCUGUUUUAUAGAGGAGGAUGAAGGGAGACUAGACUUGCCCAAGGGCACACAGCAAGUUCUCAGGGCUGGGGUUCAGACAAAAGUAUGCACUGUCCGGCAUCUGUGCUUAAAUCCUAGCUCUUAAAUAAAGACCAUGUGGUGCCAGACCAUAAGGCAUUCCUUUCUCUGAGGUUGAGAAGGAUACAGGCAAGUCAACACAAAGCCAGGUUGGCUUGUGAGCAUAACUGGAGCAGAAAACCUCAAUAUAAGAGCGGUGGAAAUUUUCAUACACCAGGAGGGGCUUGAGAAGGCUUUCUGGAAGAGGUGGCAUUUGAAGAAUGAAAGGCAGUCACCAUGCAGAGGGGACAGCAACAAUAAAAGCUUAAAGGUAUGGAGCCAAACAGGAAGGUCAAUGGAUUUCACAGUCCUCCUCUGCCUUUGCCCAGCUCCGAGGUGACACAUGUGGUGAUGGAACAGACCUCAGUGAAGGAGGCCAUCUGCUGGCAGAAGCACAUGGCUGCUGCUCUCCCGUGCUGUCCCCACCCAGCUCUGCUGGACAUCAGCUGGUUCACAGAAAGCAUGGCAGCUGGGCAGCCUGUCCCUGUGGAGGACCGGCAUCGCCUGGAGGUAAGACAGUUCAGGCCUAACUCAGUUGGGAUAGGUGAUGCGCAGCAGCAGUGCCCCAGUGCCCUCCAGAGGGCUCUGCUCAGAUCACCUGGGGUGCCUGAGAAUCAGCAGAGAAGCCAUGGCAAGAGCUGGGGCUGGACCAUCCCAGCUUCUGUCCUCACCACUUGAGGUUCACUUAUGUUUAGCUUCUUCAUGCCUUCCAAAGUGGGGCAGCCCCUGCAGCUGGGGCUUCACUUCUUCCUCAAUGAGUAAUUGGGAUGAUCCAUGGAUUGGUAGGAGCCUAUCCUUGGGACUCUAGAGAGCUAGACUGCUUGUACUCAAAUCCUGGCUCUACCUGUGAGCCAUGAGGGAGGAGGCAUGCUCCCUAACCUUGAAACUUUAGUGUCCCCAGCCCACUUGAUUGUGAGGAUUUGGGGAGGCAGGAAAAGUGCACUGUGAGGAUUAACAGAUUAUUGCUACUACUCUGGUCUGAAGAGCCUUGUCCUCAGUUUGUUCUGCAAUGUAGUCUGUCUGUCCCUCCAUAUAGGGCUCUGAACCACCAAGACCCAUUGCUGUGUCUCCCUCUGCCCAUGCCUGUAGUUCACUACCUCUGUCCUGUGAACUCUAGAGGGCCCAAGGUGAAUGCUCAGGAGAGUCAGGACUCUGAUUGCUGCCUGUUUCUGUCAGCCCUGAAGCCUCAUGAUCUGUGCAUUGCCCUUCUGCAGGUGGUUGAGCCCAGGAAUGAGCCCCCAAGCCUAGUGUGGGUGUCGAUUUAUGCCUGCCAGCGUCCCACACCCCUCACACACCACAAUACCAUCCUCUCGGUGAGUCAUGUCUGUGAGAAAUUUUUAGCUUUCAGGGGACAGGGACAUGGGUACAGCUGGAUGGUAGCUGGUAGAUUGAAGCAAAGUGUCCUGCCCACUCUGCCCCUUAACCAAGGGCCUCUCCCUGCAGGAGGCCUUGGAGACUCUGGCAGAGGCAGCAGGCUUCGAAGGCAGUGAGGGCCGCCUCCUUUCCUUCCGCAGAGCAGCCUCUGUGCUCAGGGCCCUUCCUUGCCCUGUCACUUCCCUGAGUCAGCUGCAGGGGUUGCCCCACUUUGGAGAACAUUCUUCCAGGGUUGUCCAGGUAGGUGUCUGCCAUGUGUAGCCAGGUGAGUAGGUGGGGUGGGGAGGCCCUGGGGCCCAGUGAAACAGCCACGAGUCCUGGUAUUUCAGACCCCAAUGUGGAGAGACAAACAUGCACAAAGAUGCUGCUCCAAGACCACCACAGCCCACCUUUAGCACAGAUCCCUUGUGAGUCACUUACCUCCCUCAGAGUGCCUGAGAGGACUCGAUAAAGGGAGCUUCUGGCAUUGGUGUCAUUGUCAUUUGUCCCAAACUGCCCAGGGUGGGGGAAGAGAGCAACCAAGUGUAAGUUUUUGAAAACCCACAUGUUAAGCUGCCCUUCUGUGCACUUUCACUGUGAGAGCACAAAGUAAACAAAAGAUGCUUUUAGAUAAACUGAUACAUGUUUUUAAAAAGAAAAUGUUUAUAGAUCCUGGAGCUAUUUUAUCUGAGAGAUGACCAGUAUUACCUGGGACCUAAGCUGUUGUAACUCUAACCUCAAGGAGCUUUGAAGCUAGAGCCCCAUCUCAUCCCCCAGUUGUGUGGCAGCAGCUUUUGUCACUGCCCUGGGCACACUGUCCAUUGCCAAGUCCCACUGUAUCCUCAUAUCACAAAGCCCCUGUCUGUAGGGUGUGGAAAGGACCCCCAGCCCCUACCCUGACUGCUGUUCUCUUUCCGGUUCCUGUGGCUCAGUGUUUUGCUUUGUCUCCUCCCCCAGGAACUGCUGGAGCAUGGAGCAUGUGAGGAGGUGGAGAGAAUUCGUUGCUCAGAGAGGUACCAAACCAUGAAGGUGCGCAGGGAACUUGACAAGGGUGCACAGCACUGUCCAAAGCACUUACAAGGGAGGCAAGCAGGGGUGGCUGAUCCAGCUCUGGGGUCAGAGAAGGUCUUACUGAGGAAAUGGCAGCUAAGCAGACACCUGAUAUGCUCUGGCCACCAAAUGAAGACAGGCAGAAGCCUGUUUUGAGCAUGGGGAGUUUUCUAGAUCACUGAGAGCACCAUCUGUUUUAUUAGACUGUUUUUGACAGACUAAUUUUAAGCAUAUUAGCACACUGAACAAACUAUAACCUAUUCUUGGGUGCUAUAGGACCCAAGUUGUGUGUAGUAGGGCUGCCACUUUACACUGUGCUUUCUGUGAUCUUGUGUGUUACUUUUUCUAUACUGUGGGCCCACCUGUCUCCAUGGUGCAUCUUCCCCCUGUGCCUGCUCACUGCUAACCUGGUAGGGAGGCACCUCCAACACUUCUGGAUACCUCAGUUUAUCUUCUCAGACAUUCCAAAAUUCUUGGGAAGAGUCUGAGUGCUUGGCCCAGUGGCAGGUGAAGUGCUUGGCCCAGGGUCCUCUGAACUGGUCCAUGUUCAGACCCUCUCCACUCCAUCCCUUUGUGUAUGGGUGAGAGCAGCACCCACCAUCCUGAUGUUCUGGAGGCUUGAGUAAACCCAGCUAGCCUAUCCAGUACAUUUGCUGAAGCCACUCUCUCAUUUAUUAACUCCAUGUUGUUUUUGCUGUUUCUUGAAGAGAACCAUAGACAUAAGUUCCAGCUGCUGUAAGUGGGAGAGGCAUGGUUUUCCCAGUGAACCAAGAGAUGUAUUAAGAUGACUCUUGGUUCUGUUGGAAGCACAGGCUGGACCUAUGUUUUAGUAGAGGGGUGAGGAAAUAGCUUACCAAGGUCUUUCCUCAGCUUUCAGCAACUGGGCAGCAAAGCCCCCAACAUACUGCCUCUCCUGGGGCUUCUGCCAUGGUGUGUGAGUUCACUCCUCUGUGUUAAUGGGCUGGGCAGGCCAGACACUGGGUUUGAGUCUUCAGCCCAUGAUCUUGGGCAUGAAGGCAACACCUCAGGUGCAUCUUCCUGUGGGUGCUUUGUUCCUGUUCCAACUGUUCCUUCCUCUACAUAGCUCUUCACCCAAAUCUUUGGGGUUGGGGUGAAGACUGCCAACCGCUGGUACCAGGAAGGGCUGCGAACCCUGGAUGACCUCCGAGGACAACCUCAGAAACUGACCAAGCAGCAGAAAGCAGGUGAGUCCCCCAGAGAGGACUGGCCUUGGGCUUCCACAAAGUCAUUUGGAUCUGGAAAGUUCUGUACACUGAAGCCCUCAUACUGGCACUGGAUGUACUGAUUGCAUGAGUGGCAGAGGUGGGUGGUGCAAAGGGGUCCUGGUAUCAGGUACGUGGACUUCUUGGAAUUUCUCUACCUGAAGUCAGAUUCUGCUGUGGCUCUUUUAGUGAGCAGUUGUGGUCACAGCAGUGCUGUGACCUCUAGGACCCAUGAGGCUCCCUCUGGUUAGGCUUGGACUUAGGUGAGGGACAGCCUGGGUCUUGACCCACCUAUCCAGGAUGUGCCUUGUGCAUAUGGGUCAGCUGAGUCCUGCCCACCAUUUUCCAGGUAUGUGACCAUGGUCCCAAGACUAAACUCUCUGAAUCUCAGUUACCUUUUCUGUGAAAUGGGAGAAAUGACAAUGUGGAAUGCCAUAAACUCCUCUGUGAUCCAGCAGGUGGCAGGUAUUAAGCAGACACUCAUUCGGCCUGUGUGUCCUGCCUGGUGCUGCCACCAUACUGUCUGGACCUAGCCUGGUUGAGGGCUUUGCUAAAGGCACCAUAACCAGCAGUAUGCCCAUUCCCCACCUCUUUGCACAUCUCCCUGGGGCUCCAGCAUAGUGCAGAUGACAGUCAGAGAAACCUACUUUUUUUAACCUGUUCUCAGGACAAAGGUAGAUAGUAUUACCAUCCAUUGUUUACUAAGGACUUGUUCUGUGCUGGAUGCUGCUGUUCUUCACAUUUAAAUCUUUCUUUAACUACAUGUGGAAGGUACGAUGAUAUCCCCUUGACAGGUGAGGAAAUAGAAGCAGGCUAAAAGAUGGGUUUCUAUUGGUAGAGUUACCUUCUUCACACUUUUUUGCCACCUUUUUGUUGCAUUUUAUUUAUGGGAAAACAGAAGGCUUAAAAGAAAUAUCUGCAGCCUGCUUGUGUCAACAUCAGUACCCUUAGAUUGAGUUCUAUGAGAUUUGUAAGGUGUUACCUUUGAGGGGAACUGGGUAAAGGGCACAGAGACCCCCCACCUCCCUCUCUCCCCCCUCCCCCUUUCCCCCUCCCCCUCCCUCCCUCCCUCCCUCCUUCCUUCCUUCCUUCCUUCCUUCCCUCCCUCUCUCUUUCCCUCAUUCCCUGUCUCCCUCCCUCCCUCCCUCUCUCUCUCUCUUUGGGGGCGGUACUGGGGAUUGAACUGAGGGGCACUUGACCACUUGACCCAUCCCCAACCCUAUUUUGUAUUUUAUUUAGAUACAGGGUCUCACUGAGUUGCUUAGUGCUUUGCUUUUGCUGAGGCUGGCUUUGAACUUGCGUUCUUCUUGCCUCAGCCUCCCGAGUGCUCAGCCCAGCUGAGCAUCUCUUUUAAUUCCCAUGAACUGCGUGUGAAUCUACUAAUUAUCUCAAAAUUAAAAUUUAAUAUUUAAAAGGGGAUAGUGUCAUGCUUCUAUUGGGAUCACUCAGCUUCUGCCAUAGCCUGUCCCUCCUCAGAGGCUUUUCCCUAUCUCACAGCCACAGGGAUGGGUGACUGCCUGAUACUAGAGGAUGGGGCUCUGUGGGGAAUGCAGGCUGAGAGAGUCAGGAGGACUGUGCUGCCCACAGGGCUCCAGCAUCACCAGGACUUAAGCACUCCAGUUGGACGGCCUGAUGCUGAGGCUCUGCUGCAACUGGUAGAGACAGUCGUGGGCCAGGUCCUGCCUGGGGCCACUGUCACGCUGACUGGUGGCUUUCGAAGGUAAGGGGGUUUGACAUACCCUUCUGGCUCACCUCCAGGACUCUCCCCAAUGCAGUUGGGGACAUUGAGGUGGCUUUCCCAUUCACUGGGAGGGGCAUGGCCCAUAGCUGGAAUGAGGGCUAUGUCCUUAUCCUUCUCAGGGGCAAGUUACAGGGCCAUGAUGUGGACUUCCUUAUCACCCACCCUGAGGAGGGCCAGGAGGCAGGGUUGCUGCCGAGAGUGAUGUGCCACCUGCAGAGCCAGGUGAGGGCUUCUGGUGCCUCUGCCCAAGAGUUGACUGCUACCUGGCCUUCUGUUCUCCUAGUACCAUGGUGGUGCCUGGCCACAUCUGCCUUUCCCCACAGGGCCUUAUCUUGUAUCAUCAGCACCAAGCCAGCUGCUUAGAGACCCCUACUCACCUUGUCCAGCGGAGCCAUACCAUGGAUGCCUUUGAGAGGAGUUUCUGCAUCUUCCGCCUGCCUCAACCCCCAGGAGCUGCCUUGGGGGGUGUCCUGAAGCCUUGCUCAGCGUGGAAAGCUGUGAGGGUAGAUCUGGUGGUUGCUCCCAUCAGCCAGUUCCCUUUUGCUCUGCUUGGCUGGACUGGCUCUCAGGUAGGUUGUGUGCUGCUGAGGCUGCCAGGGCUGAGGUGAGCCAACCAUACUGAGGGCAGUUACUCCCCCCAGCUUUUUGAGCGGGAACUGCGCCGAUUCAGCCGGAAAGAGAAGGGACUGUGUCUGAAUAGCCAUGGACUGUUUGACCCAGAGCAGGUAUGUCAAGGAUUAGGGUGGGAAACAACCCCCUAGCCUGCUUCCUGGAUCACAGCCUGAAAUGGCCCUAAAUCUCUCCAUCCUGGAACCCAUGGUGCCCAGAUCUUGGUCUUACCUCCCAGAUCCUAGCCCUCCCCAAAAGGCAUCUUGCCUUAGCACUGGGCUCUGCCUCCCCAUCUAGCCUGUCUCCAGGGGAGCCAUCCUGGCUGGGCACCCUGUGCAUUGUGCAAUGGUGCCACUGGGCAUGGCCCCCAGCUUCUGAAGCCUCUGCUUCUGUUGCAGAAGACAUUUUUCCAUGUGGUUUCCGAAGAAGACAUUUUCAGACACCUGGGCCUCAAGUACCUUCCCCCAGAGCAGAGAAAUGCCUGAUCCAGCCCAUCUGCCCUCACUCCUCUUAGGAAACGGGGGGCUGCUGGACACUUUUGAAUAUCUCCAGGCAGAAGAUACGCUGCCACGCCAUAUCCUCAUCUCCAAGUGGAAGAGUCUUUACCUGUGGGAGCGUCUGUGAGGCGCGGCCUUCCUCACACUCCAGCCUUAUAGCUGUGUGAUCAUGGUCAGCAUUCAGCCUCCCCAGGCCUCAGGUUCCCACCUGGGUCAGGAAAUCUGAGCAGUACUCAAGUCAUGGAGCUGUGGCAGAGCCUGCAGUCCCAGUGCGGCAAUUGAGGUGUGGUUGAAUGUCUUCUAUAGGGCACCCCACUCAGUUGCCCAGAAGAGAACCGUGUAUCCCUGCCCUGCACUUGAGCCAUGAGGUGGAAGCUGUAGUUCUUGCUCUUAGGAGUCCUCUGUGGAGGUUAAAAUGGGUAUGCUGCAAUCACCUGGAAUGAGUGAAGGUCCAAGUCACGAGAACUUCCAAUGCUGGGAUUUUGGCACUGCAGCCCCUACCCUGCUUCUGCCUUUAAGUCCUAUACUCUCCCUACUUCAAAACAGGUCACACCCUGCCACUUCUUGCUCAUAGUCCUGCGGCAUUCCAAAUCCCCAAAUCCUCAUGUGAUCCCCUAGGGUUCUAGCAUUUCUGCCACCCCUGCCAAUCUCAUCUGCACUCUUCUUUCAAUACCCCCCGCCCCACCCCUCAUUUGCUUCCUGUUUCACUGUUUCCUACUGAUGUGCUCAGACCCCAUGUCUCUGACUCCCUCCCCUUUCUAAGGCAGAAACACUGAAAUGAGCUGGACACACAGGUGUCCUGUGUGUUCCCUGAUCUCCUUCAGGGCCUUUGCCUUUGCCACUCUUCGCCUCCUUCAGGACUUGACUCAAGGUCAUCUUGUCAGUCACAGCUUCCCAGACUACUCACCACAUCACAAAGUGUUUUUUAAAUUAACAUGCAAUAAAAUGCUAUCUUUUAAGGUUUGUUUUUAAUGAGCUUUAACACAGGUAUAGACUCUGCCAUCUCAGGACCCAAAGGUCUGUCCCCCAAGCAUUGCCUUAUGCCAUUGCAUUAUUGCCACAUGUUCUUUAUCCCAACUCACUCAUUUUGUUCACUUAUCUACAAUUUUGCCCUCUCCAGAAUCUCAUAGAAGUGGAACCAAAUUCUCCCUUUUACUUGCCUCUCUCUCAUCAUGCCUUUGAGAUUCACUCAGGUUUUUGCAUAUAUUGAUAGUUUAUUUUUAUUUAUUGCCACAUAAUAUUACAUUCAUGGGGUGUUCCAGGAUUUAUCUGUUCAGCUACUGAAGAAUGUUUAGAUUGUUUCCAGGGUUUGGUGAUUAUGAAUAGAGCUACUGUAGCCAUGUGUAUAUAGAUUAGUGGGUAACAUACCUUUUCAGUUCUCUUGGGUAAAUAUGAAGGUAUAGGAAUAUUGGGUUAUAUGAAAAGUAUGUUUUUAAGAAAGAGCUAAAUUGUUCAGAAUGCCUGUCAUUUUCCAUUUUAUCAGCAGUGUGAGCCACCCAUAUAAGUUAAACAUUUCAUAGUAGCAGUUACUGUGUAUCUGUCAGCAAUUGAUAAUUUUGGUUUUUAUUUUAGCUGUUCUAUGAUAGGUCUGUAGCACUAAUUAACUGCCUUCCUUUUUUUUUUUCCCCUUUCCCUUCCUUUCUGGGGAUUGAAACCACGGGCUUGUGAAAUAGUAAGCUCACACUCUGCCAUUGAGCUAUAAUCCCAGCCCAUUUAUUAUGGUGGGUUUUUUUUGGUGUGUGUGUGUGUGUGUUUGUGUUUGUGUGUGUGUGUGUGGCAGGACUAGGGUUUGAUACCAGGGCCUUGCAAAUGUUAGGCAAGCACUCUACUCUGGGCCACAUCCCCAUCAAUACUUUUAUUUAUUUUUAUGUGAUGCUGAGGAUUGAACCCAGUACCUCACACAUGCUAGGUAAGCACUCUAACACUGAGCUACAACCCCAGCUCCCCAUCCUUUUUUAUUUUGGGAUAAGGUCUCUAAGUUGCCCAGACUGCUUUGAAGUUUCAAUCCUCUUACCUCUGUCUCCUGAGUAUCUGGGAUGAAGGCAUGACCACCGUGCUCAGCUGUUAUUUUUUUGUUUUUGUUUUAGGAGCAGUCUUUUAUUUAUUUAUGUUUGCAGUCUUUUGUUUUUAUACACUUUGACAAAGAGGUUUUCAGGAGGCAAUCUUUUCAGUGGAAAAUAGAGAACAUGAAAAUUUGCCUCCAGCUAUCAGUAGCUGCUCUGUUCAGAGUCUGUCAUCCCACUUGCUCAAGGAAUGAAGUGGAGGGGUGUAUUUCCCUUCCUUUCCUAGCUGAUUUCAGUACUUUAUCCUCCCAACACCUGUACUAGGGUUUGAACCCCAAGGGGUGCUUAACCACCGAGCCACAUCCCUAGUCCUUUUUUAUUUUUUAUUUAGACAGGGUCUUACUGAGAUGCUUAGGGCCUUGCUAAAUUGUUGAGUCUGGCUUUGAACUCAUGAUCCUCCUGUAACUGGGGUUACAGGUCUGCCCUCGAAUCCUACUGCUUCUUGAUGGUAUUCAUGUGUUUUGUCAUUUUCUGCCUAAGCAUAUAUUCUGUGAAAUCAAAUCUGUUUUGUACUCUAUGCCUAGAUGUUAUUGGUUUUAUGUGCACAUGCUCUCCAUUCUUUUUCAAAAGCAUGGCAUUGAAUAGGAACUUUGGAUUGUCAUCUAAUGGUCUAUAUUAAGGCCCAGCCUUUUCUGCACAUCAGAAAAAGGCAUGGCACUUGGUUCACACCUGUAAUCCCAGGAACUCGGGAGAUGAGGCAGAAGGAUUGCAAGUUUGAGGUCUCAGAUUUUUUAAAAUGACAGGGAUGUAACUCAGAGGUAGCACUCCCCUGGGUUUAGUUCCCCCGCAAAAAAAGGGGGAAAAAAUGGCAUGACAUCCUGCCAUACAGCCCUUAUCUUCUUGCUGCCACUGCUUUCAGUGGAAGUUUAGAUUGUUAAUUUGAGAUCUUUCUUUUUUCCUAAUAUAAGCACGUAAUGCUUUAAAUUUCCCUCUGAGCAUUACUUUAGCUUCAUCCUACAAAUUUGAUGUAUUGUGGUUUUUUUGGUGGGGGAGAUGGGUACUGGAUAUUGAACCCAGAGGCGCUUAACCACUGAACCACAUCUCCAGCCCUUUCUAUUUUUCAUUUUGUGACAUGGUCUCAGUAAGUUGCUUAGGACCUCACUAAAUUGCUGAGGCUGGCUUUGGACUUGUGAUUCUCCUGCCUCCACCACUCAAAUUGCUGGGAUUAAAGCUGUGUGUCACUGUGCCCACGGAGUAUAUUUUUAUUUUUUAUUCAAUUGGAAAUGUUUCCUUUUUUGGUGGGGGGAGGAGGGUACCAGGGAUAUUGGACCACAUACUGAGCCCCAUCCCCAGCCUUUGUUUGCAUUUCAUUUAGAGAUUGUCUCGCUGAGUUGCUUAGUGCCUUGCUUUUGCUGAGGCUGGAUUUGAACUUUCGAUCCUCUGCCUCAGCCUCCUGAACCACUGGGAUUACAGUGUGAGCCACCAUGCCCAGCAAAAAUGUUUUCUAGGGCUGGGGAUGUGGCUCAAGCGGUAGCACGCUCGUCUGGCAUGCGUGCGGCCUGGGUUCGAUCCUCAGCACCACAUACAAACAAAGAUGUUGUGUCCGCCAAUAACUAAAAAAUAAAUAUUAAAAAAACUCAAAAAAAAGUGUGGGAUAAUAUUAAAACAAAUACACUUUGAAAAAAAAAUGUUUUCUAAUUCUUCUUGAGACUUUUUCCUUGAUCCAUGGAAUAUUUAGAAGAGUGUGUUCUGUUUCCAAGUGUUGGAAGGUUUUUCCCAUUUAUAUAUAUAUAUAUAUAUAUAUAUAUAUAUAUAUAUAUACACACACACAUAUAUGUAUAUGUGUGUAUAUGUGUGUAUAUGUGUAUAUAUGUAUGUGUAUAUGUGUAUAUAUGUAUGUGUAUAUGUGUACAUAUGUAUGUGUAUAUAUGUACAUAUGUGUGUAUGUGUAUAUAUGUAUACAUAUGUGUAUGUGUAUAUAUGUAUACAUAUGUGUGUAUGUGUAUAUAUGUACAUAUGUGUGUAUGUGUAUAUAUGUACAUAUGUGUGUAUGUGUAUAUAUGUAUGUAUAUAUAUGUGUGUAUAUGUAUAUAUAUGUGCGUGUGUAUAUGUAUAUAUGUAUGUAUGUGUAUAUACGUGUAUAUAUGUAUGUAUGUAUAUAUGUAUGUGUGUAUAUGUGUAUAUAUAUGUAUAUGUGUAUAUAUGUAUAGGUGUAUAUAUAUGUAUAGGUGUGUAUGUGUGUAUGUGUGUGUAUAUGUGUGUAUAUGUGUGUGUAUGUGUUAAUUGACACUAUUGUUCACAUCUAUAUCCUUAUUUAUUUUCUGUCUAGUGAAUUACUAAGAGGAGACUUGAUGUCUUUUUUUCUUUUUUUGGUAUUGGGAAUUGAACCCAGGGGCACUUUACCACUGAGCUACAUCCCCAGAAUUUUUUAUUUUUUAUUUUUGAGAGAAGGUCUUGCAAAGCUGGCCUUGAAUUUGUGAUUCUCCUGCUUCAGCCUCCUGAGUCACGUGGGAUUAUGGUGGGGUUAUGGAAGUGACCAUACCCAAUCUGAAGUCUUAAACUAUAAUUGUAGAUUCCUUCAUUUCUCCUUUCAGUUAUUUCAUAUUGUGAUUCAUGUACUUGGAAGCUCUGUUGUAGGAAUUUUUAUAUCUUCUUAGUAUCAUUGUUAUAUAAUGUCCUUUUAUUCCUAAUAUAUUUUCUUGUUCUGAAAUCUACUUUGUUUUUUUUUUUUUUUUUUUUUUUUUUAAAGUGUAACUUCCCCCAUGCGAUUAUUACAUUUCUCUUUUUUAUUUUUUUUUUAAUGAGAGAGGGAGGGGGGGAGAGAGAGAGAGAGAAUUUUUAAUAUUUAUUUUUUAGUUUUCGGCGGACACAACAUCUUUGUUUGUAUGUGGUGCUGAGAAUCGAACCCGGGCCUCACGCAUGCCAGGAGAGCGCGCUACCGCUUGAGCCACAUCCCCAGCCCCCUGAAAUCUACUUUGAUAGAAAUAUAUCUGUUCCAGCUUUUGAUUAGUGUUUGAGUGAUAUAUCCUUUUCCUUCUAACCUACAUAAUUUUUGCCUUUUUUGGGGGGUGGGUAGGUACCAGGGAUUGAACUCAGAAGCACUGAACCACUGAGCCACAUCCCCAGUCCUAUUUUCUAUUUUAUUUAGGGACAAGGUCUCACUGAGUUGCUUAGUACCUCGCUGUUGCUGAGGCUGGCUUUGAACUCUCGAUCCUCCUGUCUCAGCCUCCCUAGCCCCUGGGAUUACAGACAUGUGCCACUGCACCUGGAAAUAUAUUUUUGCCUUUUAUUAUUUGUUUUGGGGGUGAAAUUGGACUCUGGGUCUUAUGCAUAUUAAACAUGUGCUCUACCACUUGGCUCUCAGCCUACCUUUUACUGUUUUUUGUUUGUUUGUUUGAUUUUUGUUGUGCUGGGGAUGGAAUCUGGGAACUUGUGCAUGCUAGGAAGGUACUCUAUCACUGAACUAUCCCACCACAAUCACCUAUCUGUCUUUUUCAUGAUAACNACACUCUGCCAUUGAGCUAUAAUCCCAGCCCAUUUAUUAUGGUGGGUUUUUUUUGGUGUGUGUGUGUGUGGCAGGACUAGGGUUUGAUACCAGGGCCUUGCAAAUGUUAGGCAAGCACUCUACUCUGGGC
This 13333-nucleotide long non-coding RNA is filed under the name Marmota monax (woodchuck). The record is from RNAcentral. Lineage: Eukaryota; Metazoa; Chordata; Mammalia; Rodentia; Sciuridae.